RNAcentral lists this ribosomal RNA (632 nucleotides) under uncultured fungus. RNAcentral describes it as "eukaryotic LSU rRNA". It matches the Rfam family "Eukaryotic large subunit ribosomal RNA", at positions 24 to 664 of the family's 3401-position model. The record is from RNAcentral. Lineage: Eukaryota; Fungi.
CCCGCUGAACUUAAGCAUAUCAAUAAGCGGAGGAAAAGAAACCAACCGGGAUUGCCUCAGUAACGGCGAGUGAAGCGGCAAGAGCUCAAAUUUGAAAUCUGGCCCCUUCCCCGGGGUCCGAGUUGUAAUUUGGAGAGGAUGCUUCGGGUCCGGUCCCGGUCCAAGUGCCCUGGGAUGGGCCGUCGGAGAGGGUGAGAAUCCCGUCUGCGACCGGUGGCUGGGCCUGGGUGAAGCUCCCUCGACGAGUCGAGUUGUUUGGGAAUGCAGCUCUAAAUGGGUGGUAAAUUUCAUCUAAAGCUAAAUAUGGGCCGGAGACCGAUAGCGCACAAGUAGAGUGAUCGAAAGAUGAAAAGCACUUUGGAAAGAGAGUCAAACAGCACGUGAAAUUGUUGAAAGGGAAGCGCUUGCGAUCAGACUCGCCCGGGGGGGUUCAGCCGGCACUUGUGCCGGUGCAUUGCUGCCCGGGCGGGCCAGCGUCGGUUUGGACGGCCCGUCAAAGGCCCCCGGAAGGUAGCGCCCCGCAUGGGGCGUCUUAUAGCCGGGGGUGCCAUGCGGCCUGUCCGGACCGAGGAACGCGCCUUCGGGCUCGGACGCUGGCGUAAUGGUCGUAAGCGGCCCGUCUUGAAACACGG